This is a long non-coding RNA of Nilaparvata lugens (brown planthopper), 1197 nucleotides long. RefSeq lists it as uncharacterized. The transcript has 6 exons. The record is from RefSeq and is a predicted model, not a curated record. NCBI's taxonomy places the organism in Eukaryota, Metazoa, Arthropoda, Insecta, Hemiptera, Delphacidae.
AAAUUUGAAUAAGCGUGUCCAAAACACAUAUUCUUGUCAUAGAUUUACCAAUUUACACUACUUUCUAUCUAAUCUAGUCUGUUAUGGAACUCAAGUAACAUCUCAGAUUGAUAGUUGAUUACAGAAUUCUUUGGAAGUGGUGAUUCCAUCUUUAUCAAUCCACCAAUUCAUCAUUUUUGGAAUAAAAGAUUUGAACAUAGAAAAUAUUGACUUCCUUACAGUUCGAUAUGAUUUGCAGAGUAUUGAUUAUAAGUUCUAUAAUCUUCUCAUUGUCACAUGGAACACCUCUCCGGAAUAAUGAGUCUUCAAUUACUUCAAAAAGAGAUGUGUCAAAUAAUGAACAUUGUCCAGAUUAUUCAAUGGAGAAAGAACGAGUAUGCAUUGAAUGCAAGGCAACAUUAGGAGAAUAUACUUACAGACAUUGCACGAAGAACUGUUACUCAGCAUACAUCUAUAAAGUAUGUCUGAGUCAUUAUCGCAAAAGGCCGCCGGUUUAUGAAUGAGUCACAGUGCACUGAUUGGUAAAGUGCAUCUCUGAAUAUGUCUGGAAAUGAAAAUCCAAUACAAAAGAGUAAGAUAUAAUAUUUUUGAGUGUCUGGCCAUUCGAUAUGAUACGCUUCAUAUUCAUAAGUUCAGUAAUCUUCUCAUACUCUCAUGAAUCACACUUCGUGGAUAUGGAUUCUUCAAUAAGUUCAAAAAGGCAUGUAUCAUCUGGUGGUCAGUGUCCAGAGUAUAUAGCAGAAAAAGAACGGGUUUGCAUUGCAUGCACAGAAACACUGGGAGAAUAUACUUAUAAACUUUGCACGGAAGACUGUUACAAAUCAUACAUGUUUGAAGUAUGUCUGAUUGAAUAUGGUGCAUUCUCACUGACGUAAUACUAUUAUUGAUACACAUGAUGGAGUCCCUAGAGUUCUAUCAGAUAAGUGAGUGAAUUACAUUGCAGUGGUGAGCAUGACUAACCAACUAGAAGUUGUCUUCACUAUCCAUAAUGCAGUAAGAACGAAAAGUAAAGAAUUGAAAUGUAUGGUGGUAUUUAUACAGCAAUAGUAAUAAAUGUGUAAAUAAAGUAAUAAUAUAUAAUGUAAUAGUACAGUAUUAAUCUAGUAGAAUAAUAUAGUUCUAUUUCUACAUAACAAAUUCUCAUCAAACUGGAACUUGAUCAAUGAACAGCAGAAUAAAGUAAAUUAUGCAUACAAA